ACGAACGCUGGCGGCGUGCUUAACACAUGCAAGUCGAACGGUGAAGCGCCUUCCUUUUUGGUGGGUGUGGAUGAGUGGCGAACGGGUGAGUAACACGUGAGUAACCUGCCCCCUUCUUCUGGAUAACCGCAUGAAAGUGUGGCUAAUACGGGAUAUUCUGGGUCUGUCGCAUGAUGGGUCUGGGAAAGAUAUUGUUUCGGUGGGGGAUGGGCUCGCGGCCUAUCAGCUUGUUGGUGGGGUGAUGGCCUACCAAGGCGGUGACGGGUAGCCAGCCUGAGAGGGUGGACGGUCACACUGGGACUGAGACACGGCCCGGACUCCUACGGGAGGCAGCAGUGGGGAAUAUUGCACAAUGGGCGCAAGCCUGAUGCAGCGACGCCGCGUGAGGGAUGGAGGCCUUCGGGUUGUGAACCUCUUUCGCCAGUGAAGCAGGCCUGCCUCGUUUGUGGGUGGGUUGACGGUAGCUGGAUAAGAAGCGCCGGCUAACUACGUG
RNAcentral lists this ribosomal RNA (493 nucleotides) under uncultured bacterium. RNAcentral describes it as "partial 16S ribosomal RNA". It matches the Rfam family "Bacterial small subunit ribosomal RNA", at positions 29 to 507 of the family's 1533-position model. The record is from RNAcentral.